This 891-nucleotide long non-coding RNA is filed under the name Ananas comosus (pineapple). RNAcentral describes it as "long non-coding RNA (ACOM_LNC011754)". Lineage: Eukaryota; Viridiplantae; Streptophyta; Magnoliopsida; Poales; Bromeliaceae. The record is from RNAcentral.
AUGAAUCCCCGUUUCCUUUUGUCCACGUGGCAACAUUAGCUUAAUCCAAUUUUUGGUGGACCCUACCUGUCGUUCUAAGAGACUGUUAAUUAGUGGGUGGGGCCCACCCAACCUAAAAAUUUGUUCUAUUCUGUUUCCCAUUUAAUUUUCCAUUUUCUAAUUAACUUCGUCUUUUCCACCACCGUCUCCUUCGCUCGCCCCUCUAGGUGCCGCUCCGACUCCCGUUCCCUCUCUGGACGGAAUAUUGGCGGAGUUCAUGGCCGUCCCUUCUUCUGGUCGCACCGUUCCCGUUAGCGACGCUUCGUUUCGGCUUAUGCAUCACCUCCGGUCGCUUCGUUUCGUUGGCACCCUAGAUGCCGCUCCGACAACCGUUCCCUCUCUGGAUGGAAUCUUGGCCGAGUUCAUGGCCGUCCCUUCUUCCGGUCGCGCCGUUCCCGUUAGCGACGCUGCGUUUCGGCUUAUGCAUCCCUUCCGGUCACGAAAAUGGUGCGGAUUUAUUCUCCAUGGUUCCUUCUUGCUGCCUAUAUAAUAUCCCUCUGUAAAAAAAAUAUUUGCGUUUCCUGGUGAUUUUUUUCUUAUCUGAUUUGGUAGUGAUCACUCUGCGGGCUUUGAUUUCACCUCCAGGGAAGUGGAUCGAGCGGAAGCUUCUUGAUUACAGUCAAGAGGCUCGAUUACUGUCAAGAGGCUGAGUGGUUCNUGAUUAAAUUGCUUUAAGUCAUCUCUGUAUAGAAAUUUGUGCACAGUUAGAAUGUGUUGCUUUUUUUUUCGCAAACUUAUGAGGCAUUCUUUUGAUUUUUUUUAAUCAUUAUAUGUAUUCAAAUCUUGAUGAAGAUAAAAUUUUGCUACAACAAUAUUUGCCCGCCGCAUCGCGCGGGUUACUACACUAGUUAU